Molecule: ribosomal RNA, 475 nt
Filed under: uncultured bacterium
Lineage: Bacteria
Description: bacterial SSU rRNA
Rfam family: Bacterial small subunit ribosomal RNA
Source: RNAcentral
AUUGAACGCUGGCGGCAUGCCUUACACAUGCAAGUCGAACGGCAGCGGACCUUCGGGUGCCGGCGAGUGGCGAACGGGUGAGUAAUAUAUCGGAACGUACCUUUCAGUGGGGGAUAACGUAGCGAAAGUUACGCUAAUACCGCAUAUUCUGUGAGCAGGAAAGCAGGGGAUCGCAAGACCUUGCGCUGAUUGAGCGGCCGAUAUCAGAUUAGCUAGUUGGUGAGGUAAAGGCUCACCAAGGCGACGAUCUGUAGCGGGUCUGAGAGGAUGAUCCGCCACACUGGAACUGAGACACGGUCCAGACUCCUACGGGAGGCUGCAGUCGAGAAUUUUCCUCAAUGGGCGAAAGCCUGACGCAGCCACGCCGCGUGUGCGAUGAAGGCCUCGGGUCGUAAAGCUCUGUGGAGAGGGACGAAAACCCUGGUUCAAUAGGCUCCAGGCUUGACGGUACCUCUUUAGCAAGCACCGGCUAACU